UGAGGAAUAUUGGUCAAUGGACGGAAGUCUGAACCAGCCAAGUAGCGUGCAGGAUGACGGCCCUAUGGGUUGUAAACUGCUUUUGUAUGGGGAUAAAGUUAGGGACGUGUCCCUAUUUGCAGGUACCAUACGAAUAAGGACCGGCUAAUUCCGUGCCAGCAGCCGCGGUAAUACGGAAGGUCCAGGCGUUAUCCGGAUUUAUUGGGUUUAAAGGGAGCGUAGGCUGGAGAUUAAGUGUGUUGUGAAAUGUAGACGCUCAACGUCUGAAUUGCAGCGCAUACUGGUUUCCUUGAGUACGCACAACGUUGGCGGAAUUCGUCGUGUAGCGGUGAAAUGCUUAGAUAUGACGAAGAACUCCGAUUGCGAAGGCAGCUGACGGGAGCGCAACUGACGCUUAAGCUCGAAGGUGCGGGUAUCAAACAGGAUUAGAUACCCUGGUAGUCCGCACAGUAAACGAUGGAUGCCCGCUGUUGGUACCUGGUAUCAGCGGCUAAGCGAAAGCAUUAAGCAUCCCACCUGGGGAGUACGCCGGCACGGU
RNAcentral lists this ribosomal RNA (538 nucleotides) under uncultured bacterium. Its description in RNAcentral is "bacterial SSU rRNA". It matches the Rfam family "Bacterial small subunit ribosomal RNA", at positions 355 to 895 of the family's 1533-position model. The record is from RNAcentral.